UGAGCAAUCUGCCCUUCACAUCGGAAUAACCAUUGGAAACGAUGGCUAAUACCGAAUAUGACUUCGGAUCGCAUGAUCUGAAGUGGAAAGCUCCGGCGGUGAAGGAUGAGCUCGCGGCCUAUCAGCUUGUUGGUGAGGUAAUAGCUCACCAAGGCGAUGACGGGUAGCCGGCCUGGAGAGGGUGACCCGGCCACACGUGGGACUGAGACACCGGCACGUA
This 220-nucleotide ribosomal RNA is filed under the name uncultured bacterium. Its description in RNAcentral is "partial 16S ribosomal RNA". It matches the Rfam family "Bacterial small subunit ribosomal RNA", at positions 118 to 336 of the family's 1533-position model. The record is from RNAcentral.